This 7931-nucleotide long non-coding RNA is filed under the name Panax ginseng (ginseng). RNAcentral's name for it is "long non-coding RNA (PGIN_LNC004148)". Lineage: Eukaryota; Viridiplantae; Streptophyta; Magnoliopsida; Apiales; Araliaceae. The record is from RNAcentral.
UUUGAUCACCACAUUCAUCCUCGAACUUCUCUCUCUAAAAACCCACGAAUUAUAUAUGUAUAUCAGUCCCAUAAUAAAGCCCCAUGAAUUCCAUAACAGAUCUAGAAGCCCAGAAUCAUGAAUCAAAGCAUGAAGGUAUAAACCCUAGAAUUUAAAAUUUUUAUGAUCUGCAUGUUUGAUGUUAGGAUUGAGUGUUAAAAUAUGUUGUUUAAGGUGUAUAAUGAUGAUCUGGGUUGCUAGAUGUUAGAUCCAUAACAUCUAGAGGCUCAGAUUUGAAGAUUUUAAGAAUCUAGAAAUUUUUGUUUUUGUAUCUGACAGUCAAAUGUCAGUCCUCAUAGAUCUUUGUAUGUUAUGUGUUUUUGUUGUUUAAAGGUUUAAUCUUGUCGUAUGCUAUGAGCUCUUUAAUCUAGAACUUGAUUCAGAGUUAGAUCUGCUGUAGAUUGUAAGUUAUUCAUGGUCAAAGGUCGUUGACCGACCAUGACUUUCUAAAAUCUGGGUAACCCAGAAAGUUUUUAGCAGCGUCUGACAACUUUUUCUAAUGCCUUGAUCUGUCAGAUUAUAUGUGUAUUGUUAAUGUUGUUGUGAUGAGAUUUUAGUGUGAUGUCUGGACUAUAGAUCCAUGAUUUAAUAUGUCUUAUAUCGUAAGCCAGAUUGAUGUAUUAGAAGGUCAAACUGGGCAAAACGAUCACGAGGACGGGUUUCUGGAAUUUCCAGAAACCGUAAUAGCAUUGUUUCUGACAAUGUUUGACUUACUUAUAUCUUGUGAUUUUGUUGUUAUUAGAAUGAUCUGAUGAUACGAAGUUGUUCCUUGACAUGUAUACUUCCAUUAUGAACCUUUAGAUCAUACAAACAAUCCUUAGAAUCAAUGUUACGGAGCCUCAAAAGUGGUAGCAUGAACUGUUCUUCAAUUCUAGAAAACCCAGAAAUUGAAGAACAGCGUCUGACAGUUUUUCCAGGGCUUGGAUCUUACUUAUGUUAUGAUGUUUGGCCAUGUUUGUUAUUGAAUAGUGUAGUCUUGUUCGUAUACUACAAGAUCUGACCAAGAUCAAGCCCAGAAACCUCUUAGAUUAAAAGUAAUUCAUGGACAAUGUAGGCACCUCUAUCACUGACCGUCAGUGUUCUUGAGCCUCAAGAACACCAACAGCGACAGAAAGCGUCGCUAAAAGCUACAGCGACGGUUUUAAAUUUUUUUUAUUUUUUGAAUUUCCGAAAAAUGAUUAAAAAUAGGAAAUAAAUUCUACAAUUUACAAAAAUGGUUUUAAAAAUUAUUUUAAAUUAUGAAAAAUAACUUUUUAUUAUUCGAGAUAUUUUUCAUUAAUAUUUAUAAUUAUUUGAAUAUUAAUGAUAUUUAAUUUAUUUAAUUAGUGUAUUAAAUAAAUUAGAGAAAAAUAAUUUUAAUGUUAUAAAAAUUAUUUUAAAUAAGAAUAAAGUGUUUUAAAAUAUUUUUAAGUUAUAAAUGUCACUUUUAAUAUUUUGUGAUAAAAUUUUAUUAAUAAAUUAAUAUUAAUGAUAAAUAAGUUAUUUAAUAAAUGUAUUAAAUACAUUAUGGAAAAUAGAAUUAAUAAUUUAAAAAUUAUAGAAAAAUGAUUUAAAGGUUAUAAAAAUAUUUUAAGUUAUAAAAUAUAACUUUUGAUAUUUUGUCAUGAAAAAUAUUAAUAUUUUAAUAUUAAUGAUGUUAGAUUUAUUUAAUAAUUAUAUUAAAUAAAUUAGUUUAAAAUUGAUGUUAAUAUUAGAAAAAUUAUUUUUGAUAAUAAAUUGUUUAAAGAUAUUUUAAGUUAUAAAAGAUAACUUUUAAUAUUUAAAGGAUAAUUUCAUUAAUAAUUUAAUAUUAAUGAUAUUAAUUUAAUAAUAAAUGAUAUUAAGUUUAUUUAAUAAUUAUAUUAAAUAAAUAGUUUUAAAAUGGUUUUAUUUAUUUAAAAAUCAUUUAAAAAGGAUAUAAAUGAAUUAAAAAUGUUUUAAGUUAUAAUUAAGGACUUUUAAUAUUUUGAUAAAUAAUACAUUAAUACUUUAAUAUUAAUGAUAAUUAUUUAAAAAUGAUUUUAAUUCUUUUAAAAAUCAUUUAAGUGUAAUAUUAAUACUUUAAAAGUAUUUUUAGUUAUUAUAAAUAACUUUAACCUUUUGGCAAUGGUUUCAUUAAUCGAUUAAUAUUAAUUAAAUAUUAAUGAUAAUAGAAUUAUUCAAUAUUUAAAUCAUUUAAUAAUGAUUCCGGUGUUUGUAAAUUCAUGAUAAAUUAUGAUAAAUAAUUAAAAAUUAUUAUAAGUCAUUUAAAAAUAAUAUGACUGAUAUUUAUAGAUAUUGAGUUACAGAAUAGAGUCUUCGACUCGAUAAUUACCCGAUAAAGCUGUCGAUACACCGACAUGUUUCAGAAAUUGAUCUGGACUUAGAUAUUUUGACUGUAUAUGUGUUUAUUUGUGAUUCAAUGGUUGUGGAAUAUAUGUGACAAUGUGAUUAGGUUAUGUGCUUACUGCAAUAAGCAAUGCUAUGUGUUAUAGUAUGUUGUUCUAAUCGAACGAAUGAUCUUAUUACUGAUAGGUGUUAUAUAAGGAUAGAACUAAGUACAAACUGUAAGCAGCGCAUCAGGCAAGUAUCUAACCUUUGCAUUUUCUUUAUGCAAUGGACAUGAGUAAGAAUGCUUCUAAACUAUAUUAUUACUGUACAGAUUAUUAACCUUAUAUUAUAUACACCCAUUGAUUAUCAACAUGUUAGUAUAUGGUAACUCAGAUAUAUAUAUUAUGUUCGUUAAUUUCUAGAAAUGGUUAAAUAAGUGUCCCAACUUGGAUAAUCAUUGUAUGUAAUCACAUGUUGAUAUACCUUUGUCAAUUACCCGUAUACAUAUAUGUUGAAUUAUAGAUUAUUGUUGAACAAGAUAAAACCUUUGAUUUGGAAACUAGACAAGUAUGAAUAUCCCUACACGGGAAAACUUUUAUGCGCCCAAGGUGGACAGAGUGAACGAUCCUAUCGUUCUUGUAAUGUAGUAUUGAUCAAUACAGGGCCCAUGGGAAGUACAACCUAACGCCCGUAAGUUAUGACGGUUUACAGAUGAAUUUCUGUUUAACCUUUUCAAAAAUGAAAACAAUGUUCAUAGCAUGUCACCAUAACCCUAGUUAUAGUCAAUAUGUAGUUUCAAAAAUUUGAAAGAGAGAGUGUUAUGUUAUUAUUAUCGGUUCAGAAUACUUCAUAACUAUUGACUUAUUGUAGAAGAAUAGUACAAAGAAAAUAUUUAAAUUCUUUCAGCUUAUAUAUAUAUAUAUAUAUAUAUAUAUAAUUACUAUUACAUGCUGGGCACUCAAAUGCUCAUCCUUGCUUAAUUUAAAUGUUGUCAGCUAGGCAUGAACAACUCGAAGGUUCAGGCAAGAACAAGUGAAAAGGAAAGCAAACAGAACAAGUUUAUUAAUGGUAUCUUUUGUAAUAGUUAGACAAUAUAUAGACAACGAUAUGUAUUAUAUAUCAUGUAAAGAAUUAUAGUAAAGGUUGCGUAAUUGGGAUUAGACUCUGAUAAAUGCAAGAUAAGUUUGAUAUUUAUAUUAUUAUUAGUAUUAUUCCGCUCAUAGAAAUGGUAUCGUGAAGAACCGAGUUCGAUUUUCAAGUACCCGAGUUUGGGGUCUUUACAAGUUGGUAUCAGAGCUUAGGGUUAAAAACCUUAGGUGGGUAAAACCUUAGGCUAUAACCUUGGAAAAGAGGGAAACGUUAAAAAUUUAAAUAACUCAUAUAGAGUUUAAAAAGGAGAUGAAUUGAAUAAGUUCAUCGUCAAAUCAAAUAAAAGAUAACUUGUAUAAAACUAUUAUUUGUUAGUUGAUAAUCAGGAUAACUUAAGUGUGUAUAUGUCAGAUAGAAAAGGAUUAAGAUACCCUCAAAUCAUAAAGAAGAAGUCAAUCUCCAUAACCGAGCCAAUAUCGAAGCCAAUAGCUGAAAUAGAGGCUCACAUUGAAAGCUACCUCAAAGAGGUGGUUAUUUUGAAAAGUAUAGUACCAGACCCUGAAACGAUAGUAUAGCAGAUAGGUAAGAUAUAGUUAAAGAAUAUGUGGUCAAUGUCGAGUUCUUAAACUCGUAUGUUUGUGGUGAGUUCUUAAACUCAUAAUAUAUGAUAAGUUGGACGAACUAGGUGUAGUUAGGUGUGAAUAGAUUAUUGAGGAUAAUGGGAAGAGACAGAUUACUAAGCAACUGAUCCUUAGUGGAGGCGUAAGAAAUAAGUAGUACUAAUAUUAAUAUGUAUGAUUCUAUGUUGUGUAUAUGAUAGGUAUGUCUGUAUAAGGUAAUAUUCUUAAUUUUAUAUAAGUUGUGGCAGCGAUUCCCGACUUUUGAGUCACAAAGGGAUAGCGAAUGUUUAAAGCAGUAUGUGCUUUGGUAUGUCAAGUGUUAUGAAUAUGAGUCUAUGAUGGAUUAAUGAAAUAAGUUGGUAUAAAGAUAGUAGUUAAUUAUAUGAGUACUGGAUAAUGCAGAAAAUAAAAUUUUCAAAAUAUCUAAUAUUUUGAGUACAUGAUUAAUGGAAUAGAAAGUUUUAUGUUAUAUGAUUAUACGUAUACAAUAAGGCUUAGAAUAAAGAAUAAAUUGUGAUAAUGUCGCCAAGACGAAAAUGAAGUACACGGACAGAAGAACCUGUCAACAAAGCUGGAAGACAACCAGACCCGAUACAGAAUUUUGCGAAUGUGGACGAUCAAGCUAUGCAGAACGGAAUACCAGUCGCGGGAAGAUCAGUCAGAUAAUCGAUAGACGAACGUCAAAGACUUCAAGGCCAUCGUACUUCCAAGAUUUAGAGGGCCAACUGACCCUAUAGCAACGUUUGUGAUAGCUAGGAUAACUAAGGGGCAAAAGAUAGCUUUGUCACACAUACGGUAAAAAAGGAAAGGAGAUAUAUAAAGGGAAAGUCUGUGUGUUUUAAGUGUGAAUCAAUGGAGUAUAAGAUAAAAGAUUGUUCAAGAAGGAGAAAGGAGGCAAGGAAUACGAAUACGGGAAAAGGCAGCAGGACAUUGGUGAUAACGGGACCGACUUUAACAAACAAAUCAACAAAAUCAACCGCAAGCGUCUUCAAUAUGACCAUUCAAGAAACUGUAGCAGCCGGGGAUGCAACUCCAGGUAUUACUCCAACCAAUUUUAUUUCUUAUAUAUUAUUUUCUUAUAUAUAGUAAAUUAUUUUAUAAAUUAUUUUGAAGGAGGAAAUUGAGUUCUAUUAGAAAUCAAUUCUACGUAUAAGCAGAUAGAUAAACUUUAUGCUGAAUAGUUAAAGAUCAGUUCGAUCAAUUUUGAUCAAGAUCUAAUUGCAAUGAUUGUGUAUGCUAUGUACACUGGUAUAUAUAGGUUUUAAAAUGGUGAUUCCGGGGAUGGAAUCUUUAUAAGGGAGGGUGAAUGUAACAACCCGAUAUUUUCUAUAUAAAUAUAUCAUAAAAUUUGCAUAUAAUUUUUUUUUAUUAUAAGGAUGAGGAUUUGUACAAGAUAAUGUGUGUAUGUAAUUAUGUAAUACAUAAAAAUAUAUUUAUUACAUGAAUGUUUACAAAUAAUUUUAUUUUAUUUUAGAAUUAUUGAUUAUUAUAAAUUAUAUUCUUAUAAUAAUUAAUUUUAUAGUAGAAAUAUUUUUAUUAAUUAUUUUUCAUGAAAAAUAUAAUUAUAUAUUAUUUAAAUAAUAUAUGAAAUGAUUUUUUUUGAAUAAUUAUAAUAAUUAUUUUAUUAUAUGAAUUUUGGUACAGAUUAUUAAGUUAAUUAUUUUACCUUAAUUAUUAAGGUUAAAUAUGAAAGAUAAAUAAGAUAUGGAAUUCAAAGCCUAAUUCUGGAUUUGGAAUAAGGAAAGAAGAUAAUAAUAUAAUAUUAAUUAUAUUUCAGUGUUAUAAGUAUGUAUGUUAUGUGUGUAAGGAUAAUGUGUGAAACAGUUUUAAGGUAGCAUGAAAAACCCUAAAUAAUAUUUAUAAACCAUAAUUUUCUAUACUAACCCUAAUUGUCAAGUGGGAAAACCCUAAUUUGAAACUCAAUUAUGAGUUAGAAACGGUUAUGUAGUUGUGCUAAAUGAAGUAUGUUACAUAUUAUAGAAUUUAAUGUUAAUUAGAGAAACCCUAAUUAAUAUUUAGAAAUUAUAAUUUCUAGAAACCCUAAUUUCUAAAUUAGUAACCUUAAUUUACUAAAAUGAAAUCCUAAUCAUUAAUUAAGCAAGCUUAAUGUUAAUUAGUGAUUUAGUAAAACAAAUUUCCAAGUUCAAGAACCUAAGCUAAUUAGAAACCCUAAUUUGGAAUUUAAGGAAACUAAUUUUUAUUUUAUUAUAAACCCUAAUUUGAUUAUGGUAAACCCUAAUCGCCAAAUUGAGAAGUUUAAUGCUAAUUAGUGUAUCUUAAACCUAAUUAGUAAGGUACUAAGUAAUUAAAAACCUAAUUGACUAAGAAACCCUAAUUACAUUUUUUUUUGAAACUAAAUUGUUAUUUAUUUUUAAAUCCUAAUUUUGAAAAUCCUAGACUUUUGCUAAAAUGGCUCAAACCCUAAACCCUAAACCAAACCCUAAACCCUAAGGGUUUGACAAGUUACCAUAAUACCAUUAAAUUGAAAAAUCAAAAGACCAAACUACCAUUUUUGUAUUAUUUAGUAAGUUGCUUACAAGACUAACCAAAACUUUAGUUGGUAAACCAACUUUUGACUUUCCCACAUGUUCAAUAACUCCAGCACUCAGCCUCAUUCAGCAGAUGCAUGCAUUACAACACAAUAUAUAUAGAUUCAAGAGAGAGAAAUGUCAUCUUUUAAGCUAUUUGAUCACCACACUCAUCCUAGAACUUCUCUCUCUAAAAACCCACGAAUUAUAUAUGUAUAUCAGUCCCAUAAUAAAGCCCCACGAAUUCCAUAACAGAUCUAGAAGCCCAGAAUCAUGAAUCAAAGCAUGAAGGUAUAAACCCUAGAAUUUAAAAUUUUUAUGAUCUGCAUAUUUGAUGUUAGGAUUGAGUGUUAAAAUAUGUUGUUUAAGGUGUAUAAUGAUGAUCUGGGUUGCUAGAUGUUAGAUCCAUAACAUCUAGAGGCUCAGAUUUGAAGAUUUUAAGAAUCUAGAAAUUUUUGUUUUUGUAUCUGACAGUCAAAUGUCAGUCCUCAUAGAUCUUUGUAUGUUAUGUGUUUUUGUUGUUUAAAGGUUUAAUCUUGUCGUAUGCUAUGAGCUCUUUAAUCUAGAACUUGAUUCAGAGUUAGAUCUGCUGUAGAUUGUAAGUUAUUCAUGGUCAAAGGUCGUUGACCGACCAUGACUUUCUAAAAUCUGGGUAACCCAGAAAGUUUUUAGCAGCGUCUGACAACUUUUUCUAAUGCCUUGAUCUGUCAGAUUAUAUGUGUAUUGUUAAUGUUGUUGUGAUAAGAUUGUAGUGUGAUAUCUGGACUAUAGAUCCAUGAUUUAAUAUGUCUUAUAUCGUUAGCCAGAUCGAUGUAGUAGAAGGUCAAACUGGGCAAAACGAUCACGAGGACGGGUUUCUGGAAUUCCCAGAAACCGUAAUAGCAUUGUUUCUGACAAUGUUUGACUUGCUUAUAUCUUGUGAUUUUGUUGUUAUUAGAAUGAUCUGAUGAUACGAAGUUGUUCCUUGACAUGUAUACUUCCAUUAUGAACCUUUAGAUCAUACAAAAAAUCCUUAGAAUCAAUGUUACGGAGCCUCAAAAGUGGUAGCAUGAACUGUUCUUCAAUUCUGGAAAACCCAGAAAUUGAAGAACAGCGUCUGACAGUUUUUCCAAGGCUUGGAUCUUACUUAUGUUAUGAUGUUUGGCCAUGUUUGUUAUUGAAUAGUGUAGUCUUGUUCGUAUACUACAAGAUCUGACCAAGAUCAAGCCCAGAAACCUCUUAGAUUAAAAGUAAUUCAUGGUCAAAAUAGGCACCUCUAUCACUGACUGUCAGUGUUCUUGAGCCUCAAGAACACCAACAGCGACAGAAAGCGUCGCUAAAGGCUACAGCGACGGUUUUAAAUUUUUUUUAUUUUUUUGAAAAUCCG